RNAcentral lists this ribosomal RNA (465 nucleotides) under Vreelandella stevensii. RNAcentral describes it as "partial 16S ribosomal RNA". It matches the Rfam family "Bacterial small subunit ribosomal RNA", at positions 338 to 795 of the family's 1533-position model. The record is from RNAcentral. Lineage: Bacteria; Pseudomonadati; Pseudomonadota; Gammaproteobacteria; Oceanospirillales; Halomonadaceae.
CCUACGGGAGGCUGCAGUGGGGAAUAUUGGACAAUGGGGGCAACCCUGAUCCAGCCAUGCCGCGUGUGUGAAGAAGGCCCCCGGGUUGUAAAGCACUUUCAGUGAGGAAGAACGCCUGGUGGUUAAUACCCAUCAGGAAAGACAUCACUCACAGAAGAAGCACCGGCUAACUCCGUGCCAGCAGCCGCGGUAAUACGGAGGGUGCGAGCGUUAAUCGGAAUUACUGGGCGUAAAGCGCGCGUAGGUGGCUUGAUAAGCCGGUUGUGAAAGCCCCGGGCUCAACCUGGGAACGGCAUCCGGAACUGUCAAGCUAGAGUGCAGGAGAGGAAGGUAGAAUUCCCGGUGUAGCGGUGAAAUGCGUAGAGAUCGGGAGGAAUACCAGUGGCGAAGGCGGCCUUCUGGACUGACACUGACACUGAGGUGCGAAAGCGUGGGUAGCAAACAGGAUUAGAUACCCGUGUAGUC